GAUCCUGGCUCAGGAUGAACGCUAGCUACAGGCUUAACACAUGCAAGUCGGAGGGGAAACGAUAUUGGAAGCUUGCUUCCGAUAGGCGUCGACCGGCGCACGGGUGAGUAACGCGUAUCCAACCUGCCCACCACGUUGGGGAUAACCUUGCGAAAGUAAGACUAAUACCCAAUGAUAUCUCUAGAAGACAUCUGAAAGAGAUUAAAGAUUUACCGGUGUAAGAUGGGGAUGCGUUCCAUUAGAUAGUAGGG
This 251-nucleotide ribosomal RNA is filed under the name uncultured bacterium. RNAcentral describes it as "partial 16S ribosomal RNA". It matches the Rfam family "Bacterial small subunit ribosomal RNA", at positions 15 to 253 of the family's 1533-position model. The record is from RNAcentral.